GGAUCGAGCAUAAAACACCAUCUUCGAGAAAGGCUCUACUGCUGCUGCUGAUACCUUCAGAGAAAUAGGCACAAGACAAGAGGAAUAUUUUAGUUGAUAAUAAUUUCGUCCUCUUGUGAAUUCAAACCAGCACACUGAGGAGAAAUCAGGACUUCAGUGAUGUUACCGACUCAGCCAACAAGUGAGGUAUUAGUUAAUACCAAUUCCAACAUUUACAAAUCACUGUCGAAUUCAGGUUCAGGGGGCAAAGUGAGUCUUUGGAACUUCUGUCCAAACUUUUGAAGACGCUCAAGGAGGUGAGGGAUAAUUUUUUAACCCUUGCUACUCAAAUGGAAUGCACUCUAAAGUUCAGCCUUACAAUAAUCUCCUUGUAACAUGAAAAAAGUAGUGACAGCAGCUGCCUCUCACCUAAUUACUGAGCAGAAAAAGGUCCCUAUAAACCCUCUUGAACCCCUGAAGUGCAAAUGGUGGAAUUUGGGGAGGAAGCACCUCCUGAAGAAGGAAGAGGCACCCUCAAAGGAGAUUAACUCCUCUGCUUUGUUGUGCAGUUAUACAAUAUCAUCAUCAUCAUCAUUCAUCAUCUUUAAUUAACAUUCAUAGUUGGUGAGUACCCAUAUGAUUUAAUCUUAAUCUCAAACUGAAAUGAUUACCUCUCAAUCUUCAACUUUGAAAUGAUUACCAAAUCGAACGUUAUAGGGAGACGACAUCCACAUCAGAAAAAGUUAACUAGAUAAAAUCAAAGAUACAUAAAAUUUUAAUAU
Long non-coding RNA from Macrobrachium nipponense, 761 nucleotides. RefSeq lists it as uncharacterized. The transcript has 3 exons. The record is from RefSeq and is a predicted model, not a curated record. Lineage: Eukaryota; Metazoa; Arthropoda; Malacostraca; Decapoda; Palaemonidae.